RNAcentral lists this long non-coding RNA (733 nucleotides) under Salvia miltiorrhiza (redroot sage). RNAcentral describes it as "long non-coding RNA (SMIL_LNC004501)". The record is from RNAcentral. Lineage: Eukaryota; Viridiplantae; Streptophyta; Magnoliopsida; Lamiales; Lamiaceae.
UGCUAAUAAUAUUGUUUUCUGUUAUUUUUUAAUUAAUUAAAUAUACUCAUAAAUUCGGAAGCCACAUAUAAAACAAUAAUAUAAUUCCAAAGUUUUACUUCGACGGUGACACGACCCUAAUGUCUUUUCACUUGUCGCUGCAUGAACGACUAUGGCAUCAUCGCGUUGAUUCACUCCAUCACCCUCCUCCAAUAAAGCAUUGCGUUUUUUGUCGACACCACAGAUGGCAUCGUACGUUUCCAUGACCCAAAUUCGGGCGAAGAGGUCGAUUUCUUCGACCGUGUACGUAUGGCUCCCCUUUUCACCAGCCUUUUUCCCCUUCCCCUUCACCGACGUCAGUUGAGGCUCGUCCGAACCGACACCCUCUCCCUUUUCUUUGUUCAAAUUGAUUCCCUCGAGGUCUGGUUGGUAAUACGGCCUCGAGAGAUCGCCGCACUAAUUUGACAAGAAAAAAAUUGGAUUGUUGGGAUCCAUUUCAACGAAGCAAGAAUUUUUGGUAGAAGAAAGAAAUUAAGAAGAAGUUGUGAUGAAACUAUGAAGGAAUUGGAGGAUUAUAAAGAUGAAAUAGGGACCGGGGGGACCAAACUUACCGUUCUGGAACAACAGGAAAUUGUUGCUAAUUUUUUUCAAUUCCUUUUUUCACGCGCCUGAAUUUUCGACACUUGAGCCCAUCUUAAAAACAUCGUGCCUCGAGUCUUCUUCGCUUGCAUUAGCGGGUUUAUUGCCAAGGCCG